This 449-nucleotide ribosomal RNA is filed under the name uncultured prokaryote. RNAcentral's name for it is "bacterial SSU rRNA". It matches the Rfam family "Bacterial small subunit ribosomal RNA", at positions 355 to 796 of the family's 1533-position model. The record is from RNAcentral.
UCGAGAAUAAUUCACAAUGGACGAAAGUCUGAUGGUGCAACGCCGCGUGGAGGAUGAAGGCCCUAGGGUCGUAAACUCCUGUCAUUUGAGAGUAAGACCUGGCAGUGAAUAGCUGACAGGGUUGAUAGUAUCAGAAGAGGAAGGGACGGCUAACUUCGUGCCAGCAGCCGCGGUAAUACGAAGGUCCCGAGCGUUGUUCGGAAUCACUGGGCGUAAAGGGAGCGUAGGCGGUUAGGUAAGUCAGAUGUGAAAUCCCGGGGCUCAACCUCGGAACUGCAUCCGAUACUGCCUGACUAGAGUAAUGGAGAGGCAGAUGGAAUUCUCGGUGUAGCAGUGAAAUGCGUAGAGAUCGAGAGGAACACUUAUGGCGAAAGCAAUCUGCUGGACAUUUACUGACGCUGAGGCUCGAAGGCUAGGGGAGCGAAAGGGAUUAGAUACCCCCGUAGUCC